UACGUAGGUGGCGAGCGUUAUCCGGAAUUAUUGGGCGUAAAGCGCGCGCAGGCGGUUCCUUAAGUCUGAUGUGAAAGCCCACGGCUCAACCGUGGAGGGUCAUUGGAAACUGGGGAACUUGAGUGCAGAAGAGAAGAGCGGAAUUCCACGUGUAGCGGUGAAAUGCGUAGAGAUGUGGAGGAACACCAGUGGCGAAGGCGGCAUCCUGGACCGACACUGACGCUGAGGAGCGAAAGCCAGGGGAGCAAACGGG
This 253-nucleotide ribosomal RNA is filed under the name uncultured bacterium. RNAcentral's name for it is "partial 16S ribosomal RNA". It matches the Rfam family "Bacterial small subunit ribosomal RNA", at positions 524 to 776 of the family's 1533-position model. The record is from RNAcentral.